UCCCUCCAGGUAACGACCAGGCUCCAGUCCUGUUCCUCAACACUUCCAGGGCCCAGGAGGGGGAAACAGUUUUGGUUCAGUGUGCCAUUGAUGCUCAGUUUCCUGCUACGCGAGUUGUCUUCUGCAAGAACGGGCUGGAGGAGUUCAGCUUGAGGGCCCAGCACGGCAAGGUCAUCUACGCUCUGGUCCUCAACGUCACCUCGAGAAAUGCCGGGACGUACACGUGUGGGUACCAGCAGAGGAACGAGAGCAACUGGCUCCCCAUGCCCGGCUCCCGCACGCCCUCCCCACAGGCACGGCGCUGGCAGUGGCGGCCGUCGGCCUCGUCCUCCUGGCUGCAGGCAGCUGGUUUGCCAUCAGGAAAGGUGAGG
This 371-nucleotide long non-coding RNA is filed under the name Anser cygnoides (Swan goose). RNAcentral's name for it is "lncRNA (ENSACDG00005006996.1)". Lineage: Eukaryota; Metazoa; Chordata; Aves; Anseriformes; Anatidae. The record is from RNAcentral.